UCUCAGUUCGGAUUGAAGGCUGAAAUUCGCCUUCAUGAAGCCGGAAUUGCUAGUAAUGGCAGGUCAGCAUACUGCCGUGAAUACGUUCCCGGGGCCUUGUACACACCGCCCGUCACACCAUGAGAGUUGGGGAUACCCGAAGCCUGUGAGCUAACUUAACGGAGGCAGCAGUCGAAGGUAGAAUCAAUGAUUGGGGUGAAGUCGUAACAAGGUAAC
RNAcentral lists this ribosomal RNA (216 nucleotides) under uncultured bacterium. RNAcentral's name for it is "partial 16S ribosomal RNA". It matches the Rfam family "Bacterial small subunit ribosomal RNA", at positions 1286 to 1500 of the family's 1533-position model. The record is from RNAcentral.